CGUCAACCGCUGUGCCGGUGGGCGCGGUAUUACGUAGUGUGGUAACUGUGCUCGGAAUUGCUUGGCGUAAAGGGCGUGGGGGUGGAGACAUUAGUCGGUCUGGAAAUCCCCAGGCUCAACCUGGGAACUGCGCUCGAAACUGUGGGUCUCGAGUGUCGGAGAGGAUGGCGGAAUUCCUGGUGUAUAGGUGAAAUUCGUAGAUAUCAGGAGGAACACCGGUGGCGAAGGCGGCCAUCUGGACGACAACUGACGCUGAGACGCGAAAGCGUGGGGAGCAAACAGGAUUAGAUACCCGAGAGUC
RNAcentral lists this ribosomal RNA (301 nucleotides) under uncultured Desulfurococcus sp. Its description in RNAcentral is "bacterial SSU rRNA". It matches the Rfam family "Bacterial small subunit ribosomal RNA", at positions 494 to 795 of the family's 1533-position model. Lineage: Archaea; Thermoproteati; Thermoproteota; Thermoprotei; Desulfurococcales; Desulfurococcaceae. The record is from RNAcentral.